RNAcentral lists this ribosomal RNA (497 nucleotides) under uncultured bacterium. Its description in RNAcentral is "partial 16S ribosomal RNA". It matches the Rfam family "Bacterial small subunit ribosomal RNA", at positions 28 to 507 of the family's 1533-position model. The record is from RNAcentral.
GAUGAACGCUGGCGGCGUGCUUAACACAUGCAAGUCGAGCGGAAGGACGAGAAGCUUGCUGGUGGCAUGUUAGCGGCGGGCGGGUGAGACACACGAGGAUACCCUACCUAUAAGGCUGAGAUAACUACGGGAAAGCGGAUCUAACACCGGAUAAGAUUUUGAACCGCGUGGAUCAUAAGUGAAAGACGGCUUUGCGGUCACGUAUAGAGGGUUCGUGGCUGCUUUAGCUAGUUGGUAGGGUAACGGCUUACCAAGGCGAGGAUGCAUGGCCGACCUGAGAGGGUGAUCGGCCACACUGGAACUGAGACACGGUCCAGACUCCUACGGGAGGCAGCAGUAGGGAAUGUUGGGCAAUGGGCGGAAGCCUGACGGAGCAACGCCGCGUGAGUGAUGAAGGUCUUCGGGUCGUAAAACGCUGUUGUUGGGGAAGAACAGAUGUGGACGAAGACGUGGAGAUCUUGACGGUACCGUAUCAAAAAGCAACGGCUAACUACGUG